RNAcentral lists this ribosomal RNA (253 nucleotides) under uncultured bacterium. Its description in RNAcentral is "partial 16S ribosomal RNA". It matches the Rfam family "Bacterial small subunit ribosomal RNA", at positions 524 to 776 of the family's 1533-position model. The record is from RNAcentral.
UACAGAGGUCUCAAGCGUUGUUCGGAUUCAUUGGGCUUAAAGGGUGCGUAGGUGGCGCGAUAAGUCGGGUGUGAAAUCUCGGAGCUUAACUCCGAAAUUGCAUUCGAUACUGCCGUGCUCGAGGACUGGAGAGGAGACUGGAAUUCAUGGUGUAGCAGUGAAAUGCGUAGAGAUCAUGAGGAAGACCAGUGGCGAAGGCGGGUCUCUGGACAGUUCCUGACGCUGAGGCACGAAGGUCAGGGGAGCAAACGGG